This 435-nucleotide ribosomal RNA is filed under the name Triticum aestivum (bread wheat). RNAcentral's name for it is "partial small subunit ribosomal RNA". The record is from RNAcentral. Lineage: Eukaryota; Viridiplantae; Streptophyta; Magnoliopsida; Poales; Poaceae.
UUACCAGGACUAACUAGAAAGCACCUAAAUCCGGAAGUAAUCUUAAAAAAAAUAUUCAAUUAUGGGAAAAAGGAGCAAUAUUGUACUCCUUCCGUCCAAAAACAGAAAUUGCGUUUUCAUUAUGGUCCGACAGAAGGACAAUUACUUAGAUAUGUACAUAUCACUAGAAAAGCAAGAAUGUCAACAAGCCAGGUUUUACUACAAUUACUUGAAAUGAAUUUGAAUAAUAUCCUUUUUCGAUUGGGUAUGGCUUCAACCAUUCCUGGGGCCCGCCAACUAGUCAACCGUACACAUAUUUUAGUUAAUGGUCGUAUAGUCAAUAUACCAAGUUUUGGUUGCAAACUCUGAGAUAUUAUUACUACGAAAAAUAAUCAAAGGUCAAAAGGUUUGGUUCAAAAUUAUACCCACCUGAUAAGUGCCACAUGUGUGGCAUGA